RNAcentral lists this ribosomal RNA (433 nucleotides) under uncultured bacterium. RNAcentral describes it as "partial 16S ribosomal RNA". It matches the Rfam family "Bacterial small subunit ribosomal RNA", at positions 29 to 507 of the family's 1533-position model. The record is from RNAcentral.
AACGAACGCUGGCGGCAUGCCUAACACAUGCAAGUCGAACGAUGCUUUCGGGCAUAGUGGCGCACGGGUGCGUAACGCGUGGGAAUCUGCCCUUGGGUUCGGAAUAACAGUGAGAAAUUGCUGCUAAUACCGGAUGAUGUCUUCGGACCAAGGAUUUAUCGCCCAGGGAUGAGCCCGCGUAGGAUUAGCUAGUUGGUGGGGUAAUGGCCUACCAAGGCGACGAUCCUUAGCUGGUCUGAGAGGAUGAUCAGCCACACUGGGACUGAGACACGGCCCAGACUCCUACGGGAGGCAGCAGUGGGGAAUAUUGGACAAUGGGCGCAAGCCUGAUCCAGCAAUGCCGCGUGAGUGAUGAAGGCCUUAGGGUUGUAAAGCUCUUUUACCCGGGAUGAUAAUGACAGUACCGGGAGAAUAAGCUCCGGCUAACUCCGUG